AGGCCAAAUCAACAUCAGCUGCUCUGAGACUUGAGGCGAAGGGCAAUGGAAAACCAAUUGCUUCUUCUUCCUUUGAUGCUAAUAAUUAAUAUGCCACUCAUAUUGUUAGUUUCAUCGUCUUCUGUGACUUCGAAGAUUAAACACUGUGGUGGCGUGUUGUCGGCGGUGGGAGACCCAGGGAUGAAAAGAGACGCACUGAGAGUUGCCAUCGAAGCUUGGAAUUUUUGCAAUGAAGUUGGCAAAGAAGCUCCCCGCAUGGGUAGCCCCAGAGCCGCCGAUUGUUUUGAUCUCUCCAAAGCAUUGCAUUGUAAAGGGGCUGGGAAUUUUUCUCUCAAACACAAAGUGUCGGAAGAAGAUAACAAGCUUGGAGUAGGAAUGCCCUUCCCUGGAAUAAGUCCAGAAGCCCUAAAUGAUCCAGACCUUUAUGCGGUGGAGAAGGAGCUGUACCUGGGUUCUUUAUGCCAAGUUGCAGGCAGACCCAAACCAUGGCAAUUUUGGAUGAUUAUGUUGAAAAAUGGUAACUACGAUACAAGGUCUGGGUUGUGUCCCGAAAAUGGGAAAAAGGUACCUCCAUUCCCUCCUGGAAGAUUCCCUUGUUUUGGAAAGGGGUGUAUGAAUCAACCCCUAUUGUUUCAUCAACCCACAAGCUUAUCCAGUGAUGGUACAAUGAGAGGUGGUUUUAACGGUACCUAUGAUUUGGCUUCUGGCAUUAAAUGUGGGAUCCACAACAUUUCUUACUUUGAGGUGGUUUGGCACAAGAAAGUUGGUGCGGGCAGUUGGGCUUUUAGUCAUAAACUCAAGACCUCAAAAUUGUACCCGUGGCUGAUGUUGUACCUUAGAGCUGAUGCGACCAAGGGUUUCUCUGGAGGCUACCACUAUGACACCAGAGGAAUGCUCAAAAUUCUUCCCGAGUCACCUAAUUUCAAGGUCAGAAUGACUUUAGAUGUGAAGCAAGGAGGUGGACCUAAGAGCCAGUUCUACCUAAUAGAUAUUGGUAGCUGCUGGAAGAACAAUGGUAAACCCUGUGAUGGAAAUGUGCUCACUGAUGUAACCAGGUACAGUGAGAUGAUCAUCAACCCUGAAACUCCAGCUACGUGCAGCCCUUCGGUUCUGGGCAAGUGUCCGCCAUUCCACAUUACGCCCAACAACACAAAAAUUUACAGGAACGAUACUGCAAAUUUCCCUUACGCUGCUUAUCACUAUUACUGUGCUCCCGGGAAUGCCAAAUACUUGGAGGAACCAUACAGAAUUUGUGAUCCUUACAGCAAUCCUCAGGCACAGGAGCUGGUUCAGUUGUUGCCUCAUCCAAUAUGGGCCGAAUAUGGGUAUCCCACGAAAAAGGGAGACGGUUGGGUUGGGGAUGCUAGAACUUGGGAGCUUGAUGUUGGCGGCCUUUCUAGUAGACUCUACUUCUAUCAGGAUCCAGGGACCAAACCCGCAAAAAGAAGAUGGACAUCGCUAGAUGUGGGAACUGAGAUAUAUGUUAGUAACAAAGUUGAGGAGGCUGAAUGGGUGCUGAGUGAUUUCGACGUUAUUCUGACUCCACCAACCACAUAAAAUUCAAUUCAAACACACGCUGAUGAUGAUUUAACAACGUUGUUUAGGAGCUGCUGGGCCACUUUGACUUGAAGGAGUUUUAGGUAGAAGCCAAUCAGGCCCCAAAGAACAAGUACUGUUCAUCAGGCAUCCGUAAGUGUAUGUUGAGAGAAGUACAUGUUGGUGUCUACUGUUUCCUUUUCUUGUAUGGCCCAACGCUCUGUUUCAAUGGGGCAAAAUUGAGAGAUUGGUGUGGACUGGCGGUGCAGAUUCUGGCAAUGUAUUGGCGCUGGUGGGCAGGCAUUUACAUAGCAACUGAACUGGAUGGAAAUUGUGUACUUGAGGUCCAGCCGCAAUGGAUGGCUUUUAAGAGUAGUACUGCUAUUUAUUUUAUUUAGACAGAAGAUUAG
Diospyros lotus (date-plum) is the source of this 1946-nucleotide RNA transcript. RefSeq lists it as uncharacterized. The record is from RefSeq and is a predicted model, not a curated record. Lineage: Eukaryota; Viridiplantae; Streptophyta; Magnoliopsida; Ericales; Ebenaceae. The transcript is spliced from 5 exons.